RNAcentral lists this non-coding RNA (23 nucleotides) under Cricetulus griseus (Chinese hamster). Lineage: Eukaryota; Metazoa; Chordata; Mammalia; Rodentia; Cricetidae. The record is from RNAcentral.
AUACCGAACUCAGCAAUAGCAGA